Long non-coding RNA from Chenopodium quinoa (quinoa), 1069 nucleotides. RefSeq lists it as uncharacterized. The record is from RefSeq and is a predicted model, not a curated record. NCBI's taxonomy places the organism in Eukaryota, Viridiplantae, Streptophyta, Magnoliopsida, Caryophyllales, Amaranthaceae. The transcript has 2 exons.
CAACCAAGGAUUAAAAAAAUAUUAAAAAGCUUUACUACAAACAAAAUAACUGAAAAAAUAGUACAACAGUAAGGGACCCUCUUCCUUUUUCCUUUGUACCAGAGAUGUCAUCCCCAAAUUUUCACAGCAACAUGGCAGGUGAAAAAUCCCCCAAAAUUUUCCCCAAAUUUUUCCCUCUAAAAAUUUUGGGGAAAAAAUUAAUGGAGUUCCCCCCUUUCAUUUUGAAGACGCCGCUAAGCAAGAAAAAUGAACAAACCAGUAUUGAAGAGUUGCGAGGAGCGGUAUUUGUAAAAGAUCAAAUCCCGAUUUUGUGAGAAACCAUAGUUUUGCGACUAAUUAAUUCCCGCAAUUUGAGUAAGCUAAACAAAUUAAUCAAUAAAUGGUUGUGCGGUUGGCAAAAUGGAUUAUGAGAAUUUGGCGAACAAAGAAAUUGAGAUGACUGAGGUUAGGGUCAUUAUCCAAAGAUUCCCGAGGCCCCUUCCCAAGUUUGGCAUUGAUUAGGAUGCCUAAUGUUCUCCAUUUGAAGCUCAAGCAUGGAGAAGUGCAAGUUCCUAAAGACUCUAGGUCGUGCUUUCAAGCCGUGAGGGCACGAAUUCUCGUGUUGAACCCACAAUCUUGGAGUUUGGAAACUGCAAGGUCCUGUGUUUAUUAAGAGCAUUGAGUGAAACGCACGAGUAGCAUCGACAUGAUGGUGAAGAGGGUUGCCCUAUUCCCAGGCGCGGGCACGCGCGACUAUGGCGUGGCCGCCCGGCCUGGUGGCGCGGGCGCGCCUGUCUGGGUCUUUGUUCUGUACCAAGAUUUACGCGGCCGCGCUCCCCUUUAUAGUUGGCUGUGCCAGUACGGGUUUACUAUAUAUAGAUUUUCAUUCUAUUUUUAGAGAGAGAGUUCAUUUUUAGAAUUAUAAUAGGAAUUUUAGAUCAUUUUGUAGAGAGAGAAACUCUAGAUUGUAGAGUGAGAAGUUCUUGAUUGAUGAUUAAAGAUUGAUGAUUCUAGCAUUUUCUCCAUUGAAUUGAAGCAAGUUUGUAAGGAUUUCUUUUACUUUAAAGCAAUUUUUAGCAUAUGAUUUCAA